Vicugna pacos (alpaca) is the source of this 1322-nucleotide non-coding RNA. The record is from RefSeq and is a predicted model, not a curated record. NCBI's taxonomy places the organism in Eukaryota, Metazoa, Chordata, Mammalia, Artiodactyla, Camelidae.
GGAGACGUCCACCUGCACCACCUCUAAGAGCGUGUUGUGAGCAGCACUGUGUCCCCUGGACUCACAUGCUGAGGUCCUAACCCCCAGCAUCCCCGAGCAUGGCGGAACUCGGAGACGGGCUUUACAGCGGUGAUCGAGAUUAAAAAGACCCAGUACUGCAAGGAGGAAGCACUUGACUUUUCCCUCCGGCGGGCUGCGUUCCGGAAGCCCGCGCGGAGCCCGAGGCCGCGCGCUUGGCGGUUUCCCCCGGGCCCUAGCGGGCUUGGUCGACCCCGGCUGCACCGCGCCGGGCCCGUCGCUGGACUUGCCCACAUUCCCUGCGCAUCUUUUAUCUGAAAGGGAAACACCAGCGAUGGCCUGCCCGCUACUUAGGAGGCUCGUGGAGCAGUUCUCACAGCCCUCGGUCACAGCUUCACGCCUCCUGGCACCGUGCUCCCCCGAUGGAGGGCAUUAGCAGGCUUUACCGGGGUCACGGGAACGUUCUGGCCUCGUUCUGAAGUCUUCCGCUGCAGGUGGAGAGUGUCAGGCCUUUCGGAGUGAGAGGAGCUGGAUGACGUCCACACAGCUGCACGCCACUUCAGGGCUGCACGCACGGGAGGCAUCGUUAACAUCACAUCUCCAAGGUGCCCCUUGGGAAGAUGUGACCGUCUGAGCAUCAGUAAGAGUUAAGAGCAGCCGCGGACGGAAACACACCUCCAUGUUCAGACCCGUCUGUCCCUCUGCCGCUCAGGCAGGACAGCGGCCACAGCAGCUGGCUGGCUGGGCGAUGCUAGGAAACCAGCUUAGUAUUUUGAAAACAGGAAAACAAGGGGAAAGAACGGAGCGUGCGCCUGGCCUUUCCUGCGUGAGCUGAACCUUGGUCAUCAAACAGUCGGUGCAGAAGCACCGCAGUGAGCAGGCCGGAGAGAAGAGGGUCUAAGAAACGAGAAGAUCUCCAUCCCGCCAACUCUAGCAGCACAACCGAGGCGCUGCUCAUGAACAGCCGGGCGUUCUGUGGUCCCAGCUGAGGCGCACGGCACCGUCUGUGGAGGGGUCUUGACAAAAAAAAAAAACUGACCCCGAGCUCUGACCUCCAGAAGCCCAGAGGGCAGAGACACUUGCUGAAAGAUAGCACGUGACUGCGGUGAGCAACACCGAGGCCUACGGGACGAAUAAUUUGGUUUCUUCAACAAAUAUAUUCCGAAGGGGAGGGAAAAAAGAAAAGGAAAAAUCGGAGAUCUCAAGAGACUUGAGAGGCGCAUCAAUCCGCUGCAAUGAUUUGACCUUCUUUGGGUCCUGAUUUGAGCAAAUGUAAAAAAUUAAGGAGACAAUCUGCAAAAUUU